This 507-nucleotide ribosomal RNA is filed under the name uncultured bacterium. RNAcentral's name for it is "partial 16S ribosomal RNA". It matches the Rfam family "Bacterial small subunit ribosomal RNA", at positions 28 to 507 of the family's 1533-position model. The record is from RNAcentral.
GACGAACGCUGGCGGCGUGCCUAAUACAUGCAAGUCGAACGCAUUUUCUUUCACCGUAGCUUGCUACACCGACAGAAAAUGAGUGGCGAACGGGUGAGUAACACGUGGGUAACCUGCCCAUCAGCGGGGGAUAACACUUGGAAACAGGUGCUAAUACCGCAUAAUUCCAUUUACCGCAUGGUAGAUGGGUGAAAGGCGCUUUUGCGUCACUGAUGGAUGGACCCGCGGUGCAUUAGCUAGUUGGUGGGGUAACGGCCUACCAAGGCUGCGAUGCAUAGCCGACCUGAGAGGGUGAUCGGCCACACUGGGACUGAGACACGGCCCAGACUCCUACGGGAGGCAGCAGUAGGGAAUCUUCGGCAAUGGACGCAAGUCUGACCGAGCAACGCCGCGUGAGUGAAGAAGGUUUUCGGAUCGUAAAACUCUGUUGUUAGAGAAGAGCAAGGAUGAGAGUGGAAAGUUCAUCCCUUGACGGUAUCUAACCAGAAAGCCACGGCUAACUACGUG